Non-coding RNA from Arachis ipaensis, 649 nucleotides. The record is from RefSeq and is a predicted model, not a curated record. NCBI's taxonomy places the organism in Eukaryota, Viridiplantae, Streptophyta, Magnoliopsida, Fabales, Fabaceae.
AGUUUCGGUUGCCAAAAAGUAAGUCUCGUUAAUUGAAAGACAAGUUGCAAUUGCUGAAAAAGGAUUGGCUAUUAUGCAACAAAGUAGGCCUCGCCUUUAUAGCGAAUCAGAUGUAUGGGAUAUGUUGACUGAAUUGGGUCUAAUAGGUUCAGCUCGGAUGCAGUGUUAUCAAUUUUUAUGUGAAAAUGAGCAGAAAAAGCGCCAAAUUUUUGGGAUCCCACCUGAAAUGCGAUUGGAUGCUCUUUUUCAUUUCGUGACAGCUGCUGGUGUUCGCUUAGGAGAUAUAGUACUUUCAUAAAACAUUAACCAUUACAGGAAUCAUAACUUGAAAAUGCUUGGGAACGAGAAGUACACUGCUUAGUACAAGUAAAAAUCGAUCAUGUGUUAAUAUUUUUGACUCGGAGAAACUUUAUUUUUUUGAAGUAGAUGGGUACAGAUGGCUCAAGUUAUGUAGAAUUGAUUUUUUGGAAGUAGGCGAUGUCGCUGACUAUGAAGAAUUACCCUUUUGAAAAGUGUUGUCUGAUGAUAAAAUAGUAAUCUCUAGGAGUUCUUUUGGUUAUUACUUUUUUGGCGUUUUGUUAUAUGUUUAUAAAAAUUGUAUAUGAUUUUUGGUCGCACGUACUUGGAAAGAAAUGCUACCAACUUUUGA